RNAcentral lists this ribosomal RNA (253 nucleotides) under uncultured bacterium. Its description in RNAcentral is "partial 16S ribosomal RNA". It matches the Rfam family "Bacterial small subunit ribosomal RNA", at positions 524 to 776 of the family's 1533-position model. The record is from RNAcentral.
UACGAUGGGGGCUAGUGUUGUUCGGAAUCACUGGGCGUAAAGGGAGCGUAGGCGGGUGUCUAAGUUGGGUGUUUAAUUCCGGGGCCCAACCCCGGGCGUGCACUCAAAACUGGGCAUCUUGAAUAGGGGAGAGGUCGGUGGAAUUGGAGGUGUAGCGGUGGAAUGCGUAGAGAUCUCCAAGAACACCAGUUGCGAAGGCGGCCGACUGGACCCAUAUUGACGCUGAGGCUCGAAAGCAUGGGGAGCAAACAGG